CACCUGCUGCCUGAGUGGGAGGAGCUCAAGAGCUCAUAAAGGACAGCCAACUCACCUGUGCGAGCCCUUUUGUGAGAACAAUGGAGCUGGCUGCUGGUUGUAUCUCCUACAUUUCCACAACUGAGCAACUGGGUCUUUGAUCUACUAACCAGUUGGAUCAGUUACAAUAAAUAUUCCUUGGACUUAAAA
Long non-coding RNA from Notolabrus celidotus (New Zealand spotty), 189 nucleotides. RefSeq lists it as uncharacterized. The record is from RefSeq and is a predicted model, not a curated record. The transcript is spliced from 2 exons. NCBI's taxonomy places the organism in Eukaryota, Metazoa, Chordata, Actinopteri, Labriformes, Labridae.